AGCGUUGAAGCAUAAUAGCGUACCGGGAUGUCUUGUUAUGCAGAGCUUUCAGUAGGGGUUGUGCAGUAACCUCAAACCGGAGUAGGCUGCAAAGCCAAAAGAAAAUGCUCAA
Molecule: small RNA, 112 nt
Filed under: chicken gut metagenome
Description: drum RNA
Rfam family: drum RNA
About the family: Firmicutes, Bacteroidetes (1 example), Proteobacteria (2 examples), Spirochaetes (2 examples). Terminator (Clostridia)
Source: RNAcentral